Molecule: ribosomal RNA, 554 nt
Filed under: Rhizophagus irregularis
Lineage: Eukaryota; Fungi; Glomeromycota; Glomeromycetes; Glomerales; Glomeraceae
Description: SSU rRNA
Rfam family: Eukaryotic small subunit ribosomal RNA
Source: RNAcentral
AAGUCUGGUGCCAGCAGCCGCGGUAAUUCCAGCUCCAAUAGCGUAUAUUAAAGUUGUUGCAGUUAAAAAGCUCGUAGUUGAAUUUCGGGGUUAGUAGGUUGGUCAUGCCUCCGGUAUGUACUGAUCUCACUGAUUCCUCCUUCCUUAUGAACCGUAAUGCCAUUAAUUUGGUGUUGCGGGGAAUUUGGACUGUUACUUUGAAAAAAUUAGAGUGUUUAAAGCAGGCUAACGCUUGAAUACAUUAGCAUGGAAUAAUGAAAUAGGACGUUCGAUCUUAUUUUGUUGGUUUCUAGGAUUGACGUAAUGAUUAAUAGGGAUAGUUGGGGGCAUUAGUAUUCAAUUGUCAGAGGUGAAAUUCUUGGAUUUAUUGAAGACUAACUACUGCGAAAGCAUUUGCCAAGGAUGUUUUCAUUAAUCAAGAACGAAAGUUAGGGGAUCGAAGACGAUCAGAUACCGUCGUAGUCUUAACCAUAAACUAUGCCGACUAGGGAUCGGAUGAUGUUAAUUUUUUAAUGACUCAUUCGGCGCCUUACGGGAAACCAAAGUGUUUGGGU